Molecule: ribosomal RNA, 358 nt
Filed under: uncultured bacterium
Lineage: Bacteria
Description: partial 16S ribosomal RNA
Rfam family: Bacterial small subunit ribosomal RNA
Source: RNAcentral
CCUACGGGGGGCAGCAGUGAGGAAUAUUGGUCAAUGGGCGCGCGCCUGAACCAGCCAAGUAGCGUGAAGGAUGACUGCCCUACGGGUUGUAAACUUCUUUUAUAAAGUAAUAAAGUGAGGCACGUGUGCCUUUAUGUAUGUACUUUAUGAAUAAGGAUCGGCUAACUACGUGCCAGCAGCCGCGGUAAUACGGAGGCUCCGAGCGUUAUCCGGAUUUAUUGGGUUUAAAUGGAGCGUAGAUGGGUUGUUAAGUCAGUUGUGAAUGUUUGCGGCUCAACCGUAAACUUGCAAUUUAUACUGGCAGUCUUGAGUACAGUUGAGGUAGGCGGAAGUCGUGGUGUAGCGGUGAAAUGCUUAG